GAGGGGGGCGGGGCCGGCGCGACCGGCGGGGCGGGGCGGACACUCCCACCGCGCACCUGCUUCUGCCUGACGUGUACCCGGAAGGUCGUCAGCUCAGGCUCCAAAUAUGUAACAGUGAGUUUCUAAGUGAGUCACACGGACGCGGUUGGUUUCCAGUGAGGCAUAACUCAUCGCUUCACUCUUCUCAACGGUUCCCUCUUCGGAAGGAAGCGCAGUCCGCAGCGUCGUCCGAGGGCGUGAUCGCCUGCGUCGCACCCGCGUCUCCAGUGGCCACCCCUUGUCCUACAGGAACGCGCAUCUGCUUAGCAGGCGCUGAGCCCUUGAGGAGGCCUAAAAUGAAUGAACGCGGCUGUGCCUCCUGAGCAGGCUCACAGUUGUGGGUGGGGGACAGAAGGGUGUCCAUGCCUAAGGUCGACGGCGAUAAGACAGACGUUCUUCCCAGGAGGAGAUCAGUUCCAGAGACGGAGGUCUCGCUAUGUUGCCCAUACUGGUCUCAAAAUUCCUGGCCUCGAGUGAUCCUCCUGUCUCAGUCCCUGAAAUGCUGGGAUUACAGAACAGGUGGAGAGGUAUGAAGAACGAGGAACACUGCCCGGGGAGUUUCUUCCUCUGCAAAAUAAGGGAGUGUGUACUGAAUUACCGUUUCCAGCUCCAACAUCCAGGAUUUCAGCACUACCUGCAGAGUAGUGGGAGGAGAGAUAGAGGAAGAAGUGAAGAUAAGAAACCACUCGAAGCCGGUGUCUGGUGCUGGGACCGUGGUGGCUGGGACGGCAGCAGUCGUGCUGUCCAUCUGCUCUUCCGAGGGGUGGCACAUCCUAGCCUCUAUCUUUUCCCCAGAGAAGAUCCCCCUCGUCUGCUCUUCCCCCGUCUCAGCCUUUUAGUGUGUGAACAGUUCUGGUGUUACUCAGCAACGCUUUUGUUAGCGCCUUUACCAGCAAGUACUUGUUAAACACUUAAAUCUUACAAGUGGAAAGAAAAUUCCGUGGUAAAUUUAAGUACAAAAGUCAACCAAAAUUCUGAGUCUCGGACAAGACUGGUUAAAAAUCGUUCUACAAUGAAACUAAUAAAUUAAAUCAUAUAAAACUUUUAUUGCUUUGCAAGGAAGCUUUAGUAUUAAAUGUAAGCAUUUUCAUCUGGU
This is a long non-coding RNA of Homo sapiens (human), 1135 nucleotides long. Ensembl annotates it as long intergenic non-protein coding RNA 2901. Lineage: Eukaryota; Metazoa; Chordata; Mammalia; Primates; Hominidae. The record is from Ensembl.